This is a long non-coding RNA of Phyllostomus discolor (pale spear-nosed bat), 219 nucleotides long. RefSeq lists it as uncharacterized. The transcript has 3 exons. The record is from RefSeq and is a predicted model, not a curated record. NCBI's taxonomy places the organism in Eukaryota, Metazoa, Chordata, Mammalia, Chiroptera, Phyllostomidae.
UCAACAGUCCUGCAUGGAAACUAUUUGGAUGAUUGAAAAGGCCACAGCUCUGGGCAACUGGUGAUUGGCAGCUUCAUCAUGAUAAUGUGCCUGCUCACACAUCAAGUCUCGUGCAGAGUUUUUUAGUGAAACAUCAAGUCACCCAGGUGACUCAGCCCCCUUACAGCCCAGAUUUGGUGCCCUGCAACUUCUGGCUUUUCCCAGUACCAAAAUCACCUU